GAUGAGCGCUAGCGGCGUGCCUAAUACAUGCAAGUCGAGCGAACAGACGAGGAGCUUGCUCCUCUGACGUUAGCGGCGGACGGGUGAGUAACACGUGGAUAACCUACCUAUAAGACUGGGAUAACUUCGGGAAACCGGAGCUAAUACCGGAUAAUAUAUUGAACCGCAUGGUUCAAUAGUGAAAGACGGUUUUGCUGUCACUUAUAGAUGGAUCCGCGCCGCAUUAGCUAGUUGGUAAGGUAACGGCUUACCAAGGCAACGAUGCGUAGCCGACCUGAGAGGGUGAUCGGCCACACUGGAACUGAGACACGGUCCAGACUCCUACGGGAGGCAGCAGUAGGGAAUCUUCCGCAAUGGGCGAAAGCCUGACGGAGCAACGCCGCGUGAGUGAUGAAGGUCUUCGGAUCGUAAAACUCUGUUAUUAGGGAAGAACAAAUGUGUAAGUAACUAUGCACGUCUUGACGGUACCUAAUCAGAAAGCCACGGCUAACUACGUG
This 497-nucleotide ribosomal RNA is filed under the name uncultured bacterium. RNAcentral's name for it is "partial 16S ribosomal RNA". It matches the Rfam family "Bacterial small subunit ribosomal RNA", at positions 28 to 507 of the family's 1533-position model. The record is from RNAcentral.